Arabidopsis lyrata subsp. lyrata is the source of this 275-nucleotide long non-coding RNA. RefSeq lists it as uncharacterized. The record is from RefSeq and is a predicted model, not a curated record. The transcript is spliced from 2 exons. NCBI's taxonomy places the organism in Eukaryota, Viridiplantae, Streptophyta, Magnoliopsida, Brassicales, Brassicaceae.
CUGGCCGAGGACGUGGUGGUGCUCCUCGAGCAAAUCUCACGCAAAUUGUGAAUGCUAACUCCGCUGCUAUUGGAUCUUCUGAGAUUACUGAGGCUGAUCGACAAGGAUUGUUGGGAAUGACUGAUGAACAAUGGAAGAUAGUGGAAAAAGUUAUCAAUGCUGGCAAAGGAUCCUCUCAACUAAGUGGACCGCAUCACGAGGACGCUGAUUGGGUCGGGUGAACGAGAGGGAGAGGGGUUGUACCGGUUUCGCGGGAUUGAGACAGUGGCGGCAUU